This 588-nucleotide long non-coding RNA is filed under the name Sus scrofa (pig). Its description in RNAcentral is "lncRNA (ENSSSCG00030031258.1)". The record is from RNAcentral. Lineage: Eukaryota; Metazoa; Chordata; Mammalia; Artiodactyla; Suidae.
GAGCCCCUCACCUCCCCAGAAGACAAGAAGGGGUCGAAGUCCCCGGUUACGCAUGCCCAUUGGACCGUGAAGGAUUGUGGUGCCUGUUCAAACAUCAAACCAAGGUGGGGGUUGGCUUCCUGCCCGUAUCAUGAGCGAUGGCUCCAGUCCAGGAUCCCUUCGGGGACCCAAGUGAACCCUGACACAAACGAAGCACCACGUGUGCCCAGCUAUGAGCGUGUUAUUACUGAAGCUGCCGUGAAGGUAAAAGCUAAGCAACAGCAUCUCAAGUCAGGGUUGGUGGAGGCUUCAGUUCCGGUUGCCCCUCUGAGAUGGAGUCCCGCCUUCCAGAGUCCGUGGGAUUUUCCUUAAAGAGUCAGCAUAUGUGAACCCAAAGCACUACGAGGUUUUAAUUUCCUUCUUCGAGGCCUUCUGUAAGAGCCCAUCAGGAUCUAUUAACCAAUACAAACAGAUUGGCUUUCAAAAUGUGAGGUUCAUUGAUUCUCUUGGGCAGGGGACACAUCCUUUAAUCGAUUUUCUCCUAUGUUCCCAAGACUGGCUAACAGCCAAGGGCAGGGACCUAAGGGACACACUUUUCUCCCCCCCCCC